This 339-nucleotide ribosomal RNA is filed under the name Acidiella bohemica. RNAcentral's name for it is "eukaryotic LSU rRNA". It matches the Rfam family "Eukaryotic large subunit ribosomal RNA", at positions 1 to 342 of the family's 3401-position model. Lineage: Eukaryota; Fungi; Ascomycota; Dothideomycetes; Mycosphaerellales; Teratosphaeriaceae. The record is from RNAcentral.
UUGACCUCGGAUCAGGUAGGGAUACCCGCUGAACUUAAGCAUAUCAAUAAGCGGAGGAAAAGAAACCAACAGGGAUUGCCCUAGUAACGGCGAGUGAAGCGGCAACAGCUCAAAUUUGAAAUCUGGCGCAAGCCCGAGUUGUAAUUUGUAGAGGAUGCUUCUGGGCAGCGGCCGGUCUAAGUUCCUUGGAACAGGACGUCACAGAGGGUGAGAAUCCCGUAUGCGACCGGUUGGCACCCGUCACGUAGCUCCUUCGACGAGUCGAGUUGUUUGGGAAUGCAGCUCUAAAUGGGAGGUAAAUGCCUUCUAAAGCUAAAUACCGGCUGGAGACCGAUAGCG